GGAAGCAGAAAGAGAGAGAGUGAGGCUGAGGGGAGAACAGAGACCAGGUUUAUUCAGUCUGGAGAUGUUCUUUCAGGCCAUGUGUUCUUCUAGGAAAGGGAGAUACUGUGGAGCUUAGAGGCUUGACCCCGGCCCUUAGGUCUUUGGGUCUUCUCGUUGAGGCAAGAAGGAGCCAUUGAUGGUGUUAAGCAGGAAAAGCAGCAAGAUCCGAUUUGCAUUUUAGGAUUAUUCCUCUGGCUGAAUGCAAAUGAGUUGGAGGGGGCGACAUGGAGGAGGGAGGCAGAGUCACUGGUAAUCAAAAAGUAGAUGAUAAAGGCCUGAACAGGGAGGAAGAUCUCCACACAGCCCUGGUUUCCCAAGAGCCAGGGAGAGUCACAGGGCUUACUCAUGCCUGGAGUGGUGGACUCAUGCUCUAAACCAGUCUUCAUCAUGGACAUUUGGAGCCCUGUGCUGCUAUUGAUAAGAAGCAGGUCUCUUGAUCCAGUCUACCCUCUAAGGGAGGAAAUUGUGAAAGACCACAAAUACCAGGUGUGGGAAUUAUUGGAGUCAUGUCAGAAGCUACCUAAGG
This is a non-coding RNA of Callithrix jacchus (white-tufted-ear marmoset), 568 nucleotides long. NCBI's taxonomy places the organism in Eukaryota, Metazoa, Chordata, Mammalia, Primates, Cebidae. The record is from RefSeq and is a predicted model, not a curated record.